UCAGGCAGCAAUGUCUGAGAAACGUUCACUGUGAACAAAUCAGGACGCUUAGAGUAUGGUUACAAGAAUGACUCAGCGCAGUAUGAAUUUUUUGUUUUCUUCGGAAAACAAGCUCAACGAGAGCCAUCGGGGGUAGAUCUAUCUCAUGACGAGUGGUGGAAUACGGUGACUCAUGAGAGAGACACGGAGGCGAAGGCGUCUACCUAGAGGGUUUCUGUCGAUCAAGGGCGAGAGUAGGAGUAUCCAACAGGAUUAGAGACCCUGGUAGUUCCUACUAUAAACGAUGCCGACAGGAGUUUGUCAUUUAAUAAUGGCAGAAUCUUUGGAGAAAUCAUAGUUCUUGGGCUCUGGGGGAACUACGACCGCAAGGCUGAAACUUGAAGGAAUUGACGGAAGGGCACACCAGGGGUGGAGCCUGUGGCUUAAUUUGAAUCAACACGGGGAAACUUACCAGGACCAGAUGUUUUUUAUGACUGACAGGCUUCGGGUCUUUCAGGAUAUGAUUUUUGGUGGUGCAUGGCCGUUGGUGGUGCGUGGGUUGACCUGUCUAGCGUUGAUUCAGCUAACGAGCGAGAUUAUCGCCAAUUAUAUACUACGCCUAGGUU
RNAcentral lists this ribosomal RNA (605 nucleotides) under Tetratrichomonas buttreyi. RNAcentral describes it as "SSU rRNA". It matches the Rfam family "Eukaryotic small subunit ribosomal RNA", at positions 727 to 1370 of the family's 1831-position model. Lineage: Eukaryota; Parabasalia; Trichomonadida; Trichomonadidae. The record is from RNAcentral.